UGGCGGACGGGUGAGUAACGCGUAAGAACUACCCCCACGGAGAGGGAUACCAACUGGAAACGGUUGUUAAUACCUCCUAUGCUGAGGAGUGAAAGGCUUUCAAGCCGCCUAGGGAUGGGCUUGCGUCUGAUUAGCUAGUUGGGGGAGUAAAGGCCUCCCAAGGCGAUGAUCAGUAGCUGGUCUGAGAGGACAAUCAGCCACACUGGGACUGAGACACGGCCCAG
This 224-nucleotide ribosomal RNA is filed under the name uncultured bacterium. RNAcentral describes it as "partial 16S ribosomal RNA". It matches the Rfam family "Bacterial small subunit ribosomal RNA", at positions 96 to 334 of the family's 1533-position model. The record is from RNAcentral.